AGGGCACCACCAGGAGUGGAGCCUGCGGCUUAAUUUGACUCAACACGGGAAAACUCACCCGGCCCGGACACUGGAAGGAUUGACAGAUUGAGAGCUCUUUCUUGAUUCAGUGGGUGGUGGUGCAUGGCCGUUCUUAGUUGGUGGAGUGAUUUGUCUGGUUAAUUCCGAUAACGAACGAGACUCUAGCCUACUAAAUAGAUCGUCGGCUUACAAACGCCGGCGAGACUUCUUAGAGGGACAGGCGGUGAUUCAACCGCACGAAACAGAGCAAUAACAGGUCUGUGAUGCCCUUAGAUGUCCGGGGCCGCACGCGCGCUACACUGGAGUGAUCAGCGUGCUUUUUCAACCUACUCUGUCAAGAGUGGGGAACCCAAUGAACCUUCUUCGUGAUUGGGAUAGGGGAUUGUAAUUAUUCGCCUUGAACGAGGAAUUCCCAGUAAGCGCGAGUCAUAAGCUCGCGUCGAUUACGUCCCUGCCCUUUGUACACACCGCCCGUCGCUACUACCGAUUGAAUGUUUU
RNAcentral lists this ribosomal RNA (519 nucleotides) under uncultured eukaryote. RNAcentral describes it as "SSU rRNA". It matches the Rfam family "Eukaryotic small subunit ribosomal RNA", at positions 1161 to 1699 of the family's 1831-position model. The record is from RNAcentral.